GUUGUAUAGUCAAGUAAUUAAGUGCAUGUGGUGGAUGCCUUGGCAGUCAGAGGCGAUGAAAGACGUGAUAGCCUGCGAAAAGCUCCGGGGAGGCGGCAAAUAUCCUUUGAUCCGGAGAUUUCUGAAUGGGGGAACCCACCUACUUUAAGGUAGGUAUUGCAACAUGAAUACAUAGUGUUGCAAGGCGAACGAGGGGAAGUGAAACAUCUCAGUACCCUUAGGAAAAGAAAUCAAUUGAGAUUCCCU
This 246-nucleotide ribosomal RNA is filed under the name Acinetobacter pittii. RNAcentral's name for it is "partial 23S ribosomal RNA". It matches the Rfam family "Bacterial large subunit ribosomal RNA", at positions 1 to 240 of the family's 2925-position model. The record is from RNAcentral. Lineage: Bacteria; Pseudomonadati; Pseudomonadota; Gammaproteobacteria; Moraxellales; Moraxellaceae.